RNAcentral lists this long non-coding RNA (367 nucleotides) under Hordeum vulgare. Its description in RNAcentral is "long non-coding RNA (HVUL_LNC019026)". The record is from RNAcentral. Lineage: Eukaryota; Viridiplantae; Streptophyta; Magnoliopsida; Poales; Poaceae.
GAUGGUGGAUGGUUAGAGGAUCGACAAACAAGUGGUAGGUAGCAAGACAUAGCGAUAAAAGAGACAACUAGCAUAACAAAGAUAGUAGUGAUAUCCAAGGUAAUAGUCAGCAGAAGUUGGUAAAAAAGCUGAACCAAACACAACCUAAGUGAAGUUUGAUAUGCAACGAGUUUCAUAUUAGAGAAACUCCACAUUUAAGUGAUUUAGUUAACUUUAGAUUAGGCACCCAACGAGUUUAAAUGUUAUUUAGCAUGGAAAGAGCUGAAGCACAAUUAAACUAUCUAUCUAGGCAUUUCAAAUGAGACGAGAAACAAUAUAUAGCAUUUAUGGAACAACCCCAUAUGUAAAUUUUGAAUUUGGUCCAUAU